GGAUGUGAGGGCGAUCUGGCUGCGACAUCUGUCACCCCAUUGAUCGCCAGGGUUGAUUCGGCUGAUCUGGCUGGCUAGGCGGGUGUCCCCUUCCUCCCUCACCGCUCCAUGUACGUCCCUCCCGAAGCUGCGCGCUCGGUCUAAGAGGACGACCUUCCCCGAUAGAGGAGGACAGUUCUUCAGUCAAGGGUAUACGAGUAGCUGCGCUCCCCUGCUAGAACCUCCAAACAAGCUCUCAAAAAAUACUUUAUUCCUUAAGUAAACAGUUCAUUAUGUCUAGAACAUAAAUUGUUCAAAGGCUUUUCCAACAAAU
Unclassified non-coding RNA from Ictidomys tridecemlineatus (thirteen-lined ground squirrel), 313 nucleotides. Its record names the gene 7SK. It matches the Rfam family "7SK RNA". Rfam says of the family: 7SK was discovered as an abundant small nuclear RNA in the mid-70s but a possible function has only recently been suggested. Two independent studies have found that 7SK RNA binds the CDK9/cyclin T complex (known as elongation factor P-TEFb). Lineage: Eukaryota; Metazoa; Chordata; Mammalia; Rodentia; Sciuridae. The record is from Ensembl.